Molecule: non-coding RNA, 712 nt
Organism: Schizosaccharomyces pombe (fission yeast)
Lineage: Eukaryota; Fungi; Ascomycota; Schizosaccharomycetes; Schizosaccharomycetales; Schizosaccharomycetaceae
Source: the annotation of a GenBank genome assembly
UCAUCAAGCAUUGUAUUGAAUAACUUAUAGACGAAGAAUGCUAUUGCUGCUGUGCAAACUGGCUUUAUCAAUUCGAUAUAUAAACAGUUUUCGCCAUGCAUGGCUAAGAUCGUAAAGUUCAGCAUCACAAAAAGUUGGAGGAUCAUGUUUUAAAAGUGAGUAUAAGUACUUGUAAUUUUAGACACUACAUUUUAGCAGGGGCUUCAUCGGCUUUCGCCUCAGCACUUCUCUUGGAGUCGGCAGUAUCGCUUUCCGACUUUACUGCUUUUCCAACGUCAUCAAAAAAGUUGUUAAUUCCAUGUCGCACACGUUCAAUACCAUAAACAAUCUUGUGGUCGGCUUUACGAACGUCUUCUUUACCUUCGCGUUCCAUUAUUUAUAAUUUCAGAGGAUGUACAAAAAAUUCAAGGUUGGUCGUAUUAUCAAAACUUCGCAAAUGUAUAGGGACAAAAGCAAUUAAUAACUUUAAUCUCACCUAGUGUUUAAGUGUGAUAGAAUGAGUAUUUAUCACCAGUUGUUUUGUUAAAGAAUAAACCGCCGAAGCCGGGCGGCUGCUGUAUAUAUAGUAAACAUAUCAGCGUCCCUACCGCCAACCCAUGACGUAAGUCGGGUUAUUAAGAAAUGCGAUCUCGUGAAAUAAAAAAUAAGAUUGAAAAUAAUGGAAAUUGGAAGAAAAACCGAGAAUUACAAGGGCGUUUUGUAUGUACCUGAU